UGGUGGAGUGAUUUGUCUGGUUAAUUCCGUUAACGAACGAGACCUCAAUUCUUAAAUAGGGUGGGGAAAUUUCUACCGGGUGAAGUGUAAGAGUGUGGUGGUGGCCUAAAACCAUUGCUGCCUCUUGCAUGGAUCCUUGAAUCUUUCCUCCAUUCUUCUUAAGAAGACUAUUGGGGAAUACCUAAUGGAAGUGAGGCAAUAACA
This 204-nucleotide ribosomal RNA is filed under the name uncultured eukaryote. RNAcentral describes it as "partial 18S ribosomal RNA". It matches the Rfam family "Eukaryotic small subunit ribosomal RNA", at positions 1299 to 1458 of the family's 1831-position model. The record is from RNAcentral.